Molecule: ribosomal RNA, 597 nt
Filed under: uncultured bacterium
Lineage: Bacteria
Description: bacterial SSU rRNA
Rfam family: Bacterial small subunit ribosomal RNA
Source: RNAcentral
GGAUGCUAAUACCGCAUAAGUUCUUUGACCUCCUGGUCUUUGAAUAAAAGACGGCCUUUGUGCUGUCUCUCAUGGAUGAUCCCGCGGCGUAUUAGUUAGUUGGUGAGGUAAUGGCUCACCAAGACCAUGAUACGUAGCCGACCUGAGAGGGUGAUCGGCCACACUGGGACUGAGAACGGCCCAGACUCCUACGGGAGGCAGCAGUAGGGAAUCUUCCACAAUGGGCGAAAGCCUGAUGGAGCAAUGCCGCGUGAAUGAAGAAGGUCUUCGGAUCGUAAAGUUCUGUUAUUAGAGAAGAAAGAUUCAAGGCGUAACUAUCUUGAAUUUGACGGUACCUAACCAGAAAGUCACGGCUAACUACGUGCCAGCAGCCGCGGUAAUACGAAGGGUGCAAGCGUUAAUCGGAAUAACUGGGCGUAAAGCGCACGCAGGCGGUUUGUUAAGCCAGAUGUGAAAGCCCCGAGCUCAACUCGGGAACUGCAUUUGGAACUGGCAAACUAGAGUCUUGUAGAGGGGGGUAGAAUUUCCAGUGUAGCGGUGAAAUGCGUAGAGAUUGGAAGGAAUACCAGUGGCGAAGGCGGCCCCCUGGACAAAGAC